CCUACGGGUGGCAGCAGUGGGGAAUAUUGGGCAAUGGGCGCAAGCCUGACCCAGCAACGCCGCGUGAAGGAAGAAGGCUUUCGGGUUGUAAACUUCUUUUGACAGGGAAGAGUAGAAGACGGUACCUGUCGAAUAAGCCACGGCUAACUACGUGCCAGCAGCCGCGGUAAUACGUAGGUGGCAAGCGUUGUCCGGAUUUAUUGGGUUUAAAGGGUGCGUAGGCGGUUUUUUAAGUUAGUGGUUAAACGUCGGGGCUUCACCUUGAUUUGCCAUUAAUACUGUAAGACUCGAGUUCAGACGAGGUAGGCGGAAUAAGUUAAGUAGCGGUGAAAUGCUUAGAUAUAACUUAGAACUCCGAUAGCGAAGGCAGCUUACCAGACUGCGACUGACGUUGAGGCUCGAAAGCGUGGGGAGCAAACAGGAUUAGAUACCCCGGUAGUC
This 441-nucleotide ribosomal RNA is filed under the name uncultured bacterium. RNAcentral describes it as "partial 16S ribosomal RNA". It matches the Rfam family "Bacterial small subunit ribosomal RNA", at positions 338 to 795 of the family's 1533-position model. The record is from RNAcentral.